This 288-nucleotide small RNA is filed under the name uncultured Coraliomargarita sp. RNAcentral's name for it is "5' ureB small RNA". It matches the Rfam family "5' ureB small RNA". The record is from RNAcentral. Lineage: Bacteria; Pseudomonadati; Verrucomicrobiota; Opitutia; Puniceicoccales; Coraliomargaritaceae.
AAUUUGCUGCGGGCAGAUGAAAUGUAUAUGCGAGUCAAAGCCGCCGGCGGUAACAAUGUGCCCCUCAGCAGCGAUCACUUCGGUGCCGGCACCGAUCACCAUUUCCGGAGCGAUACCGGACUGGAUCAACGGAUUGCCGGCAUGACCAAUGCCCGCAAUGCGCCCUUCUUUGACGCCGAUGUCGGCCUUGAUGAUACCGAGGAUCGGGUCAAUGAUUGUCGCGUUGGUCAGGACUAAAUCUAGGCAGUCCUUGCCCGUUGCCAGUGGCGACUGGCCCAUGCCGUCGCG